This 253-nucleotide ribosomal RNA is filed under the name uncultured bacterium. RNAcentral describes it as "partial 16S ribosomal RNA". It matches the Rfam family "Bacterial small subunit ribosomal RNA", at positions 524 to 776 of the family's 1533-position model. The record is from RNAcentral.
GACAGGGGUCUCAAGCGUUAAUCGGAAUCACUGGGCUUAAAGGGUGCGUAGGCGGGCCUGUAAGUGUCCUGUGAAAUCCCCCGGCUCAACCGGGGAACUGCGGGGCAUACUGCGGGUCUUGAGGAAGGUAGGCGCCGAGGGAACAGUAGGUGGAGCGGUGAAAUGCGUAGAUAUCUACUGGAACGCCGAUGGUGAAGACGCUCGGCUGGGCCUUUCCUGACGCUGAAGCACGAAAGCGUGGGGAGCAAACAGG